RNAcentral lists this unclassified non-coding RNA (240 nucleotides) under soil metagenome. RNAcentral describes it as "partial contains 5.8S ribosomal RNA, internal transcribed spacer 2, and large subunit ribosomal RNA". The record is from RNAcentral.
AACCAUAGAAACCUGCGGAGUACCUGCGGAAGGAUCAUUACAGAGUUGCAAAACUCCCUAAACCAUUGUGAACGUUACCUAAACCGUUGCUUCGGCGGGCGGCCCGGGUCCUUCCCGGCGCCCAUCGGCCCUCGCGGGCGCCCGCCGGAGGUAAACCAAACUAUUGCAUUGUAUGGCCUCUCUGAGUCUUCCGUACUGAAUAAGUCAAAACUUUCAACAACGGAUCUCAGAUCGGAAGAG